This 494-nucleotide ribosomal RNA is filed under the name Alviniconcha hessleri. Its description in RNAcentral is "partial 16S ribosomal RNA". It matches the Rfam family "Bacterial large subunit ribosomal RNA", at positions 1799 to 2562 of the family's 2925-position model. The record is from RNAcentral. Lineage: Eukaryota; Metazoa; Mollusca; Gastropoda; Provannidae.
CCUGUUUAUCAAAAACAUGGCUCUUUGUUAUAUUAUUAUAAGGAGUCGGACCUGCCCGGUGAAAAUAUUUUAACGGCCGCGGUACUCUGACCGUGCAAAGGUAGCAUAAUCAUUUGCCCUAUAAUUAAGGGCUAGUAUGAAUGGUUUGACAAGAGCAGCACUGUCUCUACAAAAAUUCCUAGAAUUUAAUGUUCAAGUGAAGAAUCUUGAAUUAAAUUAAUAGACAAGAAGACCCUAUCGAGCUUAAAAAAAUUAAGUGGGCUUAUACUUAAGCUAUAUUUUGCAUUUUUUUCCACUUAAAAAUUUUGGUUGGGGCGACUAAGGAACAACUAAAGCUUCCUAAAUACUAUUAACCUAUAAGUUUUGAUCCGAUUAUUUCGAUUAAAAGAAUUAGUUACCGUAGGGAUAACAGCAUAAUCCUUUUUGAGAGCUCCCAUCGAAAAAAGGGUUUGUGACCUCGAUGUUGGACUAGAAUAUCCAGAAGAUGCAGAAGU